Molecule: non-coding RNA, 467 nt
Organism: Kogia breviceps (pygmy sperm whale)
Lineage: Eukaryota; Metazoa; Chordata; Mammalia; Artiodactyla; Physeteridae
Source: RefSeq, a predicted model, not a curated record
CUUAAAUUAACUCUCUUCAAUUAGAACAAAGCCAAGGAAACAAAUCCCCUGGGAUUACACUGCUCUUCAUGGCACUAACCUGAGUUAAAUAUUUGGGUGCCCUACAUUGUGAUCUAUUUUUAACAUAUUAAUAGCAUGUAAAAACUCACAUUGAAAUGAGCAUGUUUGAGGACACUUAUUUAUUUAUAUGGACCAUAGACUCUUCAAGGAAAAAUUCUAAACUUACAGCAGAGGUCAGCGGUUCUCAACCAAGGGUGAUUUGAUGCUUCCCCCCCACCCCACCCCCACCCACCCAGACAUUUUGGCAAUGACUGAAGACAUUUUUGAUUGUCGUAUUGUCAUAAUGGGGGCGGGGUGCUACUGACAUCUAACGGUUAGAGGCCAGGGAUGUUGCUAAAUAUCCUGCAGGGUAUGGUACAGUCCCACAACAACAAAGGAUCGUUGUAUCCCAAAUGUCAAGAGUGCCG